AGCUAACGCUGGCGGCAUGCCUAACACAUGCAAGUCGAACGGAAACUUGGCUUCGGUUAAGUUUUAGUGGCAAACGGGUGAGUAACGCGUGGGAAUCUACCCUCUGGUGGGGGAUAACUGAAGGAAACUUCAGCUAAUACCGCAUAUUCUUGGAAACAAGGAAAGAUUUAUCGCCAGAGGAGGAGCCUGCGUCAGAUUAGGUAGUUGGUAGGGUAAUGGCCUACCAAGCCUGUGAUCUGUAGCUGGUCUGAGAGGAUGAUCAGCCACACUGGGACUGAGACACGGCCCAGACUCCUGCGGGAGGCAGCAGUGGGGAAUAUUGGACAAUGGGGGAAACCCUGAUCCAGCAAUGCCGCGUGAAUGAAGAAGGCCUUCGGGUUGUGAAGCACUUUCAGUGGGGAGGAGGGCAAUUAGGUUAAGAGCUAGAUUGUUGGACGUUACCCACAGAAGAAGCACCGGCUAACUCCGUGCCAGCCGCCGCCGUAA
This 486-nucleotide ribosomal RNA is filed under the name uncultured bacterium. RNAcentral describes it as "partial 16S ribosomal RNA". It matches the Rfam family "Bacterial small subunit ribosomal RNA", at positions 29 to 523 of the family's 1533-position model. The record is from RNAcentral.